AUAAAAAACCAAUGCCCUUCGGGGCUCCUUGGUGAUUCAUAAUAACUUAACGAAUCGCAUAGCCUUGUGCUGGCGAUGGUUCAUUCAAAUUUCUGCCCUAUCAACUUUCGAUUGUAUGGUAUUGGCUUACAAUGGUUUCAACGGGUAACGGGGAAUUAGGGUUCUAUUCCGGAGAGGGAGCCUGAGAAACGGCUACCACAUCCAAGGAAGGCAGCAGGCGCGCAAAUUACCCAAUCCCGACACGGGGAGGUAGUGACAAUAAAUACUGAUACAGGGCUCUUUUGGGUCUUGUAAUUGGAAUGAGUACAAUUUAAAUCCCUUAACGAGGAACAAUUGGAGGGCAAGUCUGGUGCCAGCAGCCGCGGUAAUUCCAGCUCCAAUAGCGUAUAUUAAAGUUGUUGCAGUUAAAAAGCUCGUAGUUGAACCUUGGGUUUGGUUGGUCGGUCCGCCUCACCGCGUGUACUGGUCCGGCCGGGCCUUUCCUUCUGGAGAACCGCAUGUCCUUCACUGGGUGUGC
RNAcentral lists this ribosomal RNA (517 nucleotides) under uncultured fungus. Its description in RNAcentral is "SSU rRNA". It matches the Rfam family "Eukaryotic small subunit ribosomal RNA", at positions 214 to 731 of the family's 1831-position model. The record is from RNAcentral. Lineage: Eukaryota; Fungi.